GCGAAUAUAGUUUAAAUACAAAACACUAGAUCGUGACUCUGGCAAUGGAAAUGAAACUUUUCCUAUUCGCU
RNAcentral lists this transfer RNA (71 nucleotides) under Indostomus paradoxus (armoured stickleback). RNAcentral describes it as "tRNA-His". It matches the Rfam family "tRNA". From Rfam's summary of the family: Transfer RNA (tRNA) molecules are approximately 80 nucleotides in length. Their secondary structure includes four short double-helical elements and three loops (D, anti-codon, and T loops). The record is from RNAcentral. Lineage: Eukaryota; Metazoa; Chordata; Actinopteri; Synbranchiformes; Indostomidae.